RNAcentral lists this ribosomal RNA (496 nucleotides) under uncultured bacterium. RNAcentral's name for it is "bacterial SSU rRNA". It matches the Rfam family "Bacterial small subunit ribosomal RNA", at positions 29 to 518 of the family's 1533-position model. The record is from RNAcentral.
AACGAACGCUGGCGGCGCGCCUAAUACAUGCAAGUCGAGCGAGAAGGUGUAGCAAUACACUUGUAAAGCGGCGAACGGGUGAGGAAUACAUGGGUAAUCUACCAUCGAGUGGGGAAUAACCAACCGAAAGGUUGGCUAAUACCGCGUACGCCUCCGAGUCUUCGGGUUCGGAGGGAAAGCUGCACUGUGAGUGUAGCGCUCUUUGAUGAGCUCAUGUCCUAUCAGCUUGUUGGUAGGGUAACGGCCUACCAAGGCUUUGACGGGUAGCUGGUCUGAGAGGACGAUCAGCCACACUGGCACUGCGACACGGGCCAGACUCCUACGGGAGGCAGCAGUAAGGAAUAUUGCGCAAUGGGCGACAGCCUGACGCAGCGACGCCGCGUGGGGGAUGAAGGUCUUCGGAUUGUAAACCCCUUUCGGCAGGGAAGAUGGAACGGGUAACCGUUCGGACGGUACCUGCAGAAGCAGCCACGGCUAACUUCGUGCCAGCAGCCGC